UCCCGUGGCCACGUUGCAGCCCAGGCGGAGGCGCGGGAUCUCGAGCUGGGAUCGCCCUCCUGGGCUUCGGUGCGAUCGGCGGCGGGAGGUUCCCUGGGAACCAGGUGGUCGAAGGGCUGAGCUGUGUGGCCAGACAAGAGGUCCCUGCCCUCCCCCAGUGAGCCCUGCUGUUCCCGUGGGAGCCAUGAAGCUGAACGAGAGGAGCGUAGCCCACUAUGCACUCAGCGACUCCCCAGCGGACCACAUGGGCUUCCUGCGCACCUGGGGGGGCCCAGGGACCCCACCAACCCCCAGUGGCACUGGCCGAAGAUGCUGGUUUGUCCUCAAGGGCAACCUGCUAUUCUCCUUUGAGAGUCGCGAGGGCCGGGCCCCACUGAGCCUGGUGGUGCUGGAAGGCUGCACAGUGGAACUGGCCGAGGCUCCCGUGCCCGAGGAGUUUGCCUUUGCCAUCUGCUUUGAUGCCCCUGGAGUGCGCCCACACCUGCUGGCCGCAGAAGGGCCGGCGGCCCAGGAGGCUUGGGUGAAGGUGCUGUCCCGGGCAAGCUUUGGCUACAUGCGCCUGGUGGUCCGCGAGUUGGAGAGCCAGUUGCAGGACGCACGCCAGAGCCUGGCUUUGCAACGCCGCUCAUCCCGGAAGUCUGUUGCCAGCCGCUGUAAGCCCCAGGCUCCUAACCACGGAGCUGCGGGCCUGGAGAAUGGCCACUGCCUAUCCAAGGACAGCAGCCCUGUGGGCUUGGUUGAAGAAGCGGCCAGCAGGUCUGCAGGGUGGGGGUUGGCUGAGUGGGAGCUGCAGGGCCCUGCCAGCCUCCUCCUAGGCAGGGGGCAGAGCCCUGUGUCCCCUGAGACCUCCUGCUUCUCUACCCUGCAUCACUGGUAUGGCCAGGAGAUCGUGGAGCUGCGGCAGUGUUGGCAGAAGAGGGCCCAGGGGAGCCACUCAAAAUGCAUUCUCCAGGUUCGAGAUCCACCCGUGUGUCUGGAAGGGACUGAGGGACCAUUCCUUCCAUCCUCUUUAUUUCCUGAGGUCCAGAGAAGGAAGGAGACUUAGCAGCCACAGAGCAAGACCCCAAUCUCCUGACUGCACUGGCCUGCCUGCCCCCUCCCAGGGGAUGUUAAUGAAAUGAAGGAAGUGGGGAAUGUCACCCGAGACUGUCACAGGCUUGCCAUACCUUUGACCUACACACCGGGCUCUAGAGCCAUAAUUUCCAACCUGGGGAGUCUCCUGUGCACUUAAAUCCGAGGGUGUACUUGCCAGGACCUCUCCUUGCUACUCUUCCCAAAGUCGGGAGGCAAAGCGGCUGGGUCACCAGAGCCUGACCAUACUGACGCUCCAGGGGGAAGACGCAGAGGCCGGGAAGAGACACCCCCUCCCAAACACAUAAAACUUGCCCCUUCCUAGCCUCGGCUCCCCUCACUGGGGCCUUGGGCAGGACCGACCCGCAUCCAACUAGGCCUAAGGGGUAGGCUCUGAGCCUCUUACCCCUAAGAGGCGGAGAUGCGCCCAAGGCGGGCGCCCGGCCUGUUCCCCAGCCCUGCCUGGAAGCCCCGCAGCCACUGCAUUUUGUUUAAACACAGAUAGCACGGGCCUUUCUCUUAUUGCUACAGUGUUUUGUACACGGUUAAAACACUAGUAAAGCUUUUUCGUUAUUA
Molecule: RNA transcript, 1647 nt
Organism: Pan troglodytes (chimpanzee)
Lineage: Eukaryota; Metazoa; Chordata; Mammalia; Primates; Hominidae
Gene: PHETA2
Gene name: PH domain containing endocytic trafficking adaptor 2
Exons: 5
Source: RefSeq, a predicted model, not a curated record